CUGGGGAAUACGGGCGCAAGGGUAAAACUCAAAUGAAUUUACGGGGGCCCGCACAAGCGGUGGAGCAUGUGGUUUAAUUCGAUGCAACGCGAAGAACCUUACCUACUCUUGACAUCCAGAGAAUUCUCUAGAGAUAGCUUAGUGCCUUCGGGAACUCUGAGACAGGUGCUGCAUGGCUGUCGUCAGCUCGUGUUGUGAAAUGUUGGGUUAAGUCCCGCAACGAGCGCAACCCUUAUCCUUUGUUGCCAGCGCGUAAUGGCGGGAACUCAAAGGAGACUGCCGGUGAUAAACCGGAGGAAGGUGGGGAUGACGUCAAGUCAUCAUGGCCCUUACGAGUAGGGCUACACACGUGCUACAAUGGCGUAUACAAAGAGAAGCGAACUCGCGAGAGCAAGCGGACCUCAUAAAGUACGUCGUAGUCCGGAUCGGAGUCUGCAACUCGACUCCGUGAAGUCGGAAUCGCUAGUAAUCGUAGAUCAGAAUGCUACGGUGAAUACGUUCCCGGGCCUUGUACACACCGCCCGUCA
This 527-nucleotide ribosomal RNA is filed under the name Serratia sp. DIV024. RNAcentral describes it as "bacterial SSU rRNA". It matches the Rfam family "Bacterial small subunit ribosomal RNA", at positions 873 to 1399 of the family's 1533-position model. Lineage: Bacteria; Pseudomonadati; Pseudomonadota; Gammaproteobacteria; Enterobacterales; Yersiniaceae. The record is from RNAcentral.